This is a long non-coding RNA of Oncorhynchus tshawytscha (Chinook salmon), 430 nucleotides long. NCBI's taxonomy places the organism in Eukaryota, Metazoa, Chordata, Actinopteri, Salmoniformes, Salmonidae. The record is from Ensembl.
AAGAGAGAGAGAGAGAGAGAGAGAGAGGUAGCAAGAAGAAGAGAGAGAGAGGUAGCAAGAGGAAGAGAGAGAGAGAGAGAGGUAGCAAGAGGAAGAGAGAGAGAGGUAGCAAGAAGAAGAGAGAGAGAGGUAGCAAGAGGAAGAGAGAGAGAGGUAGCAAGAGGAAGAGAGAGAGAGAGAGAGGUAGCAAGAGGAAGAGAGAGAGGUAGCAAGAGGAAGAGAGAGAGAGGUAGCAAGAGGAAGAGAGAGAGAGGUAGCAAGAGGAAGAGAGAGAGAGAGAGAGAGAGGUAGCAAGAGGAAGAGAGAGAGAGGUAGCAAGAAGAGAGAGAAAGAGGUAGCAAGAGGAAGAGAGAGAGAGGUAGCAAGAAGAGAGAGAGAGAGAGAGGUAGCAAGAGGAAGAGAGAGAGAGGUAGCAAGAGGAAGAGAGAGA